GAUGAACGCUGGCGGCGUGCCUAAUACAUGCAAGUCGAGCGAACGGACGAGAAGCUUGCUUCUCUGAUGUUAGCGGCGGACGGGUGAGUAACACGUGGAUAACCUACCUAUAAGACUGGGAUAACUUCGGGAAACCGGAGCUAAUACCGGAUAAUAUUUUGAACCGCAUGGUUCAAAAGUGAAAGACGGUCUUGCUGUCACUUAUAGAUGGAUCCGCGCUGCAUUAGCUAGUUGGUAAGGUAACGGCUUACCAAGGCAACGAUGCAUAGCCGACCUGAGAGGGUGAUCGGCCACACUGGAACUGAGACACGGUCCAGACUCCUACGGGAGGCAGCAGUGGGGAAUCUUCCGCAAUGGGCGAAAGCCUGACGGAGCAACGCCGCGUGAGUGAUGAAGGUCUUCGGAUCGUAAAGCUCUGUUAUUAGGGAAGAACAUAUGUGUAAGUAACUGUGCACAUCUUGACGGUACCUAAUCAGAAAGCCCCGGCUAACUACGUG
Molecule: ribosomal RNA, 497 nt
Filed under: uncultured bacterium
Lineage: Bacteria
Description: partial 16S ribosomal RNA
Rfam family: Bacterial small subunit ribosomal RNA
Source: RNAcentral